Molecule: ribosomal RNA, 465 nt
Filed under: uncultured bacterium
Lineage: Bacteria
Description: partial 16S ribosomal RNA
Rfam family: Bacterial small subunit ribosomal RNA
Source: RNAcentral
GAUGAACGCUGGCGGCGUGCUUAACACAUGCAAGUCGAACGAUGAAGCCCAGCUUGCUGGGUGGAUUAGUGGCGAACGGGUGAGUAACACGUGAGUAACCUGCCCUUGACUCUGGGAUAAGCCUGGGAAACUGGGUCUAAUACUGGAUAUGACUUCUCAUCGCAUGGUGGGGGGUGGAAAGAUUUAUUGGUCUUGGAUGGACUCGCGGCCUAUCAGCUUGUUGGUGAGGUAAUGGCUCACCAAGGCGACGACGGGUAGCCGGCCUGAGAGGGUGACCGGCCCCACUGGGGAUGGGGACACGGCCGAGCCUCCGUGGGGGGGAAGGGGGGGGAAAUUUCACAAAAGGGGGGAAGGCUGGAGGCGGGGCCCCGGGGGGGGGAAGGCCGCCUUGGGGGUGAAAACCCUUUUUCGGGGGGAAAGAGGGGGGAGGACGGGACCGGGAGAAAGAGGCGCGGCCAACUUACG